This 268-nucleotide ribosomal RNA is filed under the name Rasbora paviana (sidestripe rasbora). RNAcentral's name for it is "partial ribosomal RNA small subunit". It matches the Rfam family "Bacterial small subunit ribosomal RNA", at positions 844 to 1233 of the family's 1533-position model. The record is from RNAcentral. Lineage: Eukaryota; Metazoa; Chordata; Actinopteri; Cypriniformes; Danionidae.
CAAAGACAUACAUAUACAAUAAUGUCCGCCAGGUAUUACGAGCAUCAGCUUAAAAUCCAAAGGACCUGACGGUGCCUUAGACCCCCCUAGAGGAGCCUGUUCUAGAACCGAUAAUCCCCGUUAAACCUCACCAUUUCUGGCCAACCCAGCCUAUAUACCACCGUCGCCAGCUUACCCUAUGAGGGAACAAAAGUAAGCAAAAAGAGCACUGCCCAAAACGUCAGGUCAAGGUGUAGCGAACGAAAUGGGAAGAAAUGGGCUACAUUUU